Molecule: RNA transcript, 2075 nt
Organism: Thrips palmi
Lineage: Eukaryota; Metazoa; Arthropoda; Insecta; Thysanoptera; Thripidae
Gene name: aminoacylase-1-like
Exons: 10
Source: RefSeq, a predicted model, not a curated record
CCCCACUCCACUCUCCACUGCGGUCCCCACGCCACGCCACUGCUCCCCGACGCGACGCUGACGCUUGUCUGUGCUUGUCUGUCUGGCACGCAGUCGCAAGUCGCAGCAUCCCUCCUCGACACGCCCAUCGUCCUGAGUAUCACAACCGUCAGCAUGACCCAAAGGAAGGAAGAUCCAGCCGUGACCAACUUCAGAGAGUAUCUCAGGAUCCCGUCCGUCCAUCCCGACGUCAACUACGAUGAUUGUGUUACCUUCCUGAAGAAGCAAUCCGAUUCCCUAGGGCUACCCUAUAAGAUAUACUAUGCAGUUCCAAAGAAGCCCAUUUUUGUCAUUACAUGGGCGGGCAAAGAUCCAAGCCUUCCUGCUGUUCUCCUGAACUCUCAUAUGGAUGUGGUGCCAGUAUUUCCGGAAAGCUGGACCCACCCUCCAUUUGCUGCUGAAAAAGAUGAGAAUGGUAACAUAUUUGCCCGGGGUUCUCAAGACAUGAAAUGUGUUGGCAUACAGUACAUUGAGGCUGUGCGUAGACUGAAGCUGAAAAAUGUGCAACUGCUCCGGACUUUGCACCUGGUGUUUAAUCCUGAUGAAGAGAUCGGUGGUGUUGAUGGAAUGUCAAAGUUUGUUCACAUGAAAGAAUUUCGAGAUCUUAAUGUGGGCUUUGCCUUAGAUGAAGGCAUGGCGAGCAAAGCAGAUCACUUCAUCCUUUUUCCAGGCGAACGCUCUAUUUGGCAAAUCCAUGUUCACUGCCCAGGCAACCCUGGCCAUGGAUCACUCCUUUUAUCUAACACAGCAGGGGAAAAGUUGCGAGUUGUUAUUGACAAAUUCAUGGAUUUCCGUCAAAACCAAAAGGCCCGCCUUGAAAAUGAUCCUAAUUUAACCAUUGGAGAUGUGACUACUGUGAACCUCACUGUUAUUAAGGGUGGAGUGCAGACCAAUGUUAUACCACAAGAAAUGGUUGCCUGCUUUGAUGUUCGUUUGGCCUGUGAUGUAGACCAUGAUGAAUUUGAAAAAAUGGUGAACGGAUGGUGCAAGGAAGCAGGCUCUGACAUUAAGAUAGAAUUUGAGCAAAAAAAUCCCAAAAUAGAGGUUACUAAACUGGACGAGACAAAUCCUUGGUGGAUUGCUUUUAAAAAGGAGUGUGAUAAUAUAGGAAUGAACUUGAAGACCACAAUAUUUCCUGGAGGUACAGAUAGCGGGUUCUUGCGUGAGGGGCCUGAAAUUGAAAAGGGAGAUCUUCCCUGGUGGCACGGAUGGCAGAUACAUUCGUUAUGUCGGCAUUCCUGCAUUUGGAUUUUCCCCCAUGAAUAACACGCCUGUGCUCCUCCACGAUCAUGAUGAGUAUUUGAAUGAGUCUGUGUUUCUUCGGGGAAUUGACAUCUAUUAUAACCUUCUUUCUGCUGUUGGCAACGUUGCACCUUAGAGGUUGAGUGUCAAAUGAAGUGAGCUGGUGCUCCUCUCAAGAUGGGAGCCUUGUGCCCAUGCACACACUGUUAUUGUUGUUUAUCAUUGUUGAACUAAUUACCUUGAGUACAAUUAUUUUGACCUACAAUUCGAUUGUGAUUUUUAAACACAGGGUGCUAGGUUUCUUAUGCUACAGACUUCAAAUUAUUUUAUCUGUAAAAAUUAUUUUAUGUAUGUUAACUGGUUGAUGUAUAUUUUGACUGUGGAAAAUGUUUGAUGUGUUAUGGGAGUUAAAUAUGUAACAGACCACAUUGUUUUGUGGUUUGACUUUCUGUCUGUCUGUCUAUCAGUCAUCAUGCAGUGCCAUAGUCUUGUGCCAAAAAGCGUCAGGGCAAUGUUAAAGACAAUAGUCCCUGAUUGUAUGUUUCUCUCUAGUACCAUUUCUGUGUCCAACCUUUUUCUAUAAAGUAAGCAUAUUGAUGAUGGUCAGUGGGUUGUUAACUUUGAGUAAACCUGUGGUUUGGAUACUGUGGGAUCCAUCUUGCAAUUCAAACAAAUACGCUGCAUGUAACUUUGUUAAAUUCAGAGUGCCACUUCAGGCUUGUUAUUGUUACCUGAAUAAUGAUAUAUUAUGGAAGUUACCUAUAUGAUUAAAAGAGAGUAUAUGUUCUCCUUGA